UGAAGACAAACUGAGUCGCACCUGCACCGCUGCCUAGAAGUAUGCAAAGUUACAUCCGGGCUGAAUGGUAAAUUGGCAGGAAGCACUUCACACAUUUGAUUUGAAAAGUCUACAUUCUUACACCUGGCUGUUACCCUCAAGACCUACUCCUACCAGACGUUCAGAUGUAAGAAACAAGGGAGCGUCUGGACAUUCGCCAUCUUAUCAACACCCAGGGGAGCUGCAAUAAAAUACUUCUCUUUGGUUAGAAGUUUCUAAUCAACGCGAUUCUUUUAUCAAAGUAUGGCCACUGGUGAGUUUGCUCGACUGUUACACAACAACAGUCCACAGAAAUUCCUGUCUCACACGCAGUACAUCAGAUGGAGCGAAUUUUAACACGCUCUAUGUGUUGAUACAAUCAUGGACGUAUAUCUCUAUGUAAGUUUGCAGAUGAAUUUUCCCCUUAAUUCACUUUUAGAACAAGGUCAAUCCCCAUAUUCACUUUCUGUUUAACUAUUCAAACUCAAGAAGCCCAGACUAUGCGAAUUCUCGUG
This is a long non-coding RNA of Pomacea canaliculata, 533 nucleotides long. RefSeq lists it as uncharacterized. The transcript has 3 exons. Lineage: Eukaryota; Metazoa; Mollusca; Gastropoda; Architaenioglossa; Ampullariidae. The record is from RefSeq and is a predicted model, not a curated record.